RNAcentral lists this long non-coding RNA (1347 nucleotides) under Androctonus crassicauda. Lineage: Eukaryota; Metazoa; Arthropoda; Arachnida; Scorpiones; Buthidae. The record is from RNAcentral.
AAUUUAUAUCAACGACGUUAAGUAGUAGUAUGUAUAUAUAUAUAUAAGUAUUAGAAAAUGUUCGCAUCGUAAACAGAAAAAUCACGUAUGUUGCAAAUGGCACACCCCCUGAGGAAUUGAUAGCUUGGAGAGAGAGAAGAAAUCGCAAAGCGUUAAACCAUGUUGAGAGAAUCGAAGAAGGAAAUUGAAGGAAGGUUGGCAGCACUUAAGAAUAAAACUUUAUUUUUCUUUUUUUGACUACGAGUAAAGUAAUGAGAAGAAGAAUAUAUAAAGUAUACAUGUUUCUUCAUCAAUCUCUGCCUGCCAGUAUAUGGUACCAUAAAAAUAUCGGCCAGUUGAUUUCUUCUUCGAAAUCUGUACACUUUUUGGUCUUUGCUGCGUUCUUUCUGGUACAGUGCCAGGACAGCAGCUCGUCGAACUCGCAUUGUCAUAGCAACCCUUAUAAUUCAGAACAUUACACUUCUCUUCUCCCCGGAGAAUAAAAAUCUUUGAAACUUUCAUGAAAAUGGCGAACUAGAAGGGUUUUUUUCUUUUCUUUUUUUUUUUGUUAAACACUGUCUCCAAUCUGAUCAUUGUAGAGUUUUGACAUCUGUUUAUUUUUAAAAUAAAAUUCUGCAUUAUAGCGUAUGGUAUAAAUGCCUUAGGCAGCAUUGGAAGAAAUUCGUCUCGACAAAAAGAUCUCAUGUUUUCCUAAAAAUAUUCUGAGCAAAUUGCGUAUAUAUAUAUAUAUAGCAUGUAAAUAUUUUACAUUUCUUCCGUAUAAUUUACUUAAGUAUCUUAGACCAUUUUAACAGAAGUUUCUGACAUUGCUAAUCCUUUUAUUAAUAGCUCUGAUUAUGCAGCCGUUUCUGGUAUUAAAACUUUAAAAUGUAUUUUGCAGAGAAGGUUUGAAAGUUAAAAAAAAAAUUUUUUCGAGCUCAUCCAAAUUAUUAACAUAUAUAUAAAAUACGUACAUUUAGAAUUAUCUUGAGACGUUCUAAUUAUGUGCGUUAUAUUAAUGUUCAUUUAUAAUGAAAAAUUUCAUUAAAUUUCACGUGAUUUAUUCUAAAUUAUUUGACACAGUAGGAUUAAGAAUGUUAGAAUGUUCCUACAUAAAUCCCUAAAGAUUUGAUGGAAAAGCGUAGGGAAGGAUAAAACUACAAAAAGUUUUUAAUGAUUCCCGAACGUUUUGCUGAAUUAUUAAUGGUUGAUAGGAACUGUGAAAAAUAUAAAUUUCUUUUUAAUUACAGAAUUUUUCACUUGGCUGACAUAUUUCGGUACAUAACGAUGAAAAUCAUUAAUUAUCAUCAUAGAUAAAAUUUAAUCGUGGAUUUUAUCUACUUAUUAUACAGCAUUUUUCUAAGCAAG